Gadus morhua (Atlantic cod) is the source of this 1931-nucleotide long non-coding RNA. The record is from Ensembl. NCBI's taxonomy places the organism in Eukaryota, Metazoa, Chordata, Actinopteri, Gadiformes, Gadidae.
UAAAACCGGUUGCACUUGAAUCUGAAAUGAGGUUUGAGAUUGAGAUAGGCAGGAGGAUAUUUUAUCACUUAUCGUGAAUACAUUUUUUUUGGAGACUUACAUAAGCCUCUUAAGACCCAUUCGCCCACCGGUGGGCGAUUUGUGUUUGUUGACCACAUGUUCCCACUACGCAGCGACAUAACCCGCUUCAACUUUCAUCAUUACAGACAUUCUAUACAUCGUUAGAAAGGGUAGAAUCUCCACAAUUUAUUCAUCCGGUUUUUUUUUUUUAUAAAUCAUGAGCACAAAACCAUAAAUAUUGAUAUUAACCAGCAUGGUAAACCGGAAAUGCCAAUAAAACAGAGAGACUCCCUACCUUUGAAGCAAUCCGAGAACCGUAAUAUGUGUCCAUUCCUCAAUUAUUUAUAUUCCAAAUGUCCGUGAGAAUCCACUGAUCAAAAGCAUCCACAUGGUUUUUCAUAAAAUUAUUCCAGCUUGUGAAUAUUGUCGUGUAAAGUCCAUUUGUUUACCAUCUCCAAACUUUGUUCGUCAACUAACAUCCAGCUUUUCGAAGCCGCAUGGGUAUUUUCUCUACCUCCAGUAUGGAGUUGUUGGGUAUGCUUGUUUUCAUCACUUUGCUGGCUACAAAAUGAAAGUGUCCCCGUCUUUUUCUGUUCAGUUUUCACCCCGGUACAGCCCGUGAAGUAGAUGGAGCGCUCCCAGUUCGAAGGGCCAAUGGGCUUUGUUUACUUUGUUACGCGGCUUUAGUAUAGGGACAGCGUAUUGGCUAUUGAUAUAUCAGUCACUUGGGCUUCUAGCCAAUGAGUUUACCUUUCCAACGCUACCAGGCGUGUCCAGGUGUGAUACGUAUGAGCCGAGAUAUACAGCUGCGUCAUCACGGCAGACAACUCGCUUUGCGCAUGACAGAGCCUCCAGCGGACCAGGACGCACGCCGCACACAUUGAUCACAUUGAUUUCGCCGUUUACAAUGGCGAAAUCAACGAAGAAAACGAAAUAUUACACACAUGAAGAAGCCCUCGCUUUGAUUUUGGCUUCAUCCGAGGACAGCGAAGACAGCCAAUAUGAUUCUGAGAUAGAGGAGAUGUUCAAGCAACAAUUGGACGACGUCUUAGAUCGGUCAAUGUCUGAGGACAGUGAUGCGGAUUGGGAGCCGCAAAGCCAGACAGGCAGACCCCCGGCCCCCACUCCUACUGAAGGUGGUCGUGAGAGAUCCGGUAGUGUCUCAUCACAUGACAAUAUCUCAAUAUGGCCAUAUCAAAUGAAUGUGUGAAAAAAUUAUGUUUUGAAUCAUGGAGAAAGGUUUUAUAGUCACCAAAAUGCUUCAGUAAUGUUUCCAGUGUCACAGAAGUGAGUAAAUGCAUUUGGCACAAUUUGGCCAUUUUGGAGACAUUUUGGAGAGGUUUGGGCCGCCAGUGACCACACACCAUAAAAGCUCCAUUAACUCCCAAAGCUUUAGGCCUAGAACUCCAAAUUUUUUUCCAGGUGUAGUUGGCAUGAUGUAGAAGGUAUUUGGCAUAUUGCCAUAUGCCUUACAUAAAGCACAUCCUAGUUAUUGUAGUUCAAAUAUGACCCAUUAUUUUCGAAGACAAAAAAAUUGCUUUAGAGCCAUGUCUGAACUGAUGUCAUUUAGGUUGUGUGUAUGACACAUGCCAAAUAAACAUAUCUACAGAAACUAGAGCUUGUCAGCUUUCAAAUGAAGUAUCAUACAUCCAUCUAGGACUUAGGGUUACUGUGUUAUAAGCUUUUCCAUUUGGGUAUGUGUUUAGGCGAAAAAAACCAAAAUACUGCCGGACCUUAACAGGUUAAAAAAUAAUAUGCAGCAUCAUUAAAUAUGAAGGAAAGGACCCCCUCUUGUCCCCAGUAUUAAGCGCUUACAUGAAAAGAGAAAUGCAAUCUAUCUUUGUCUCCCCUACAUAUUCGUUUACAGGAUU